Molecule: ribosomal RNA, 274 nt
Filed under: uncultured bacterium
Lineage: Bacteria
Description: partial 16S ribosomal RNA
Rfam family: Bacterial small subunit ribosomal RNA
Source: RNAcentral
AUACGGAGGGUGCGAGCGUUGUUCGGAAUUAUUGGGCGUAAAGAGCAUGUAGGCGGUCUGUUAAGUCUGGUGUGAAAGCCCGGGGCUCAACACCGGAAGUGCAUUGGAUACUGGCAGACUUGAGUAUGGGAGAGGAAAGCGGAAUUCCGAGUGUAGGAGUGAAAUCCGUAGAUAUUCGGAGGAACACCAGUGGCGAAGGCGGCUUUCUGGACCAAUACUGACGCUGAGAUGCGAAAGCGUGGGGAGCGAACAGGAUUAGAAACCCUUGUAGUCC